Molecule: non-coding RNA, 1199 nt
Organism: Lupinus albus (white lupine)
Lineage: Eukaryota; Viridiplantae; Streptophyta; Magnoliopsida; Fabales; Fabaceae
Source: the annotation of a GenBank genome assembly
UCCUACUCUGCAUAGCACUCACCACCUCCCUCAUCGCCACGUCAGCAUCAUCCCUAUUCCUUAACAAAAUCUCCCCAACCUGUGCUGGCGUGAGGGACCCACCAUUCCUAAUACACCCUUCAACAUUCUCAAACAUCACGUGCGAUUCUACUCCAAGGUAGUUUCUAACUAACUCCUUAAACGCAUGGACCCCGCACGUGCCGAGACUCACGUGAACAUCCAUGCGCCCGCACCGCACUAGAGCGGGGUCCACGCUAUCACGAUGGUUAGUUGUAAACACAACUAACCUCUCCUCUCCGCAACAAGACCAUAGCCCAUCAGUGAAAUUUAAAAGCCCUGAAAGUGUGACACGUCCACUUUCUUUAUCUGAAUAUCCAAACGAUGUCGUUUUCGAUUUCCCGCUUUUCCAUUUUGGAUAAGUUGUUGUUAUUGCAUUUGCAUUCGACUUUUUUAACAUCCUAUCGGCCGUUAGAUCAAGCGAGCAAUCAAUGUCCUCGAUCACAAUGAUGGAACGGUUUGUCGUUUGUAUCAAAAGAGAUCUUAGUUCUGAAUUAUCAGAAACUUUAGUGAGUUCUAAAUCGUACACGUCAUAGCAUAGAAAAUUUGCUAUAGCAGCAAUUAAGCUUGAUUUGCCAGACCCGGGUGGGCCAUGGAGCAAGUAACCCCGUUUCCAAGCCCGGCCCACACGGUGAUAAAAAUCCUUGCCGUUUGAAAACGCCGUGAGAUCUUCUUUGAUUUGCUUCUUAAGUUCAGGCUCUAGCGCCAGCGUGUCAAACGUCGAAGGAUGACGAAACGGAACGGAAACCCAACCUGAUUCGAAUGACCCCGACCCGUUGUUGUUGGUGAAGAGUCUUCGUUCACGUGACACGCGCUCGAACUCCUCAGCGCGUGAGGUGACGUGCGCCAGGUAGGGUGAUAGCAGCGAGUGGCGGUGGCGUUUAGGGAGGCGGAGCGUGAAGCUGCGCUUCUCGUCGAGGGAGUCUUGAACAGUAUCGACUUGAUGAGUCCACGCUAGGCGGUGGCCGUUGAAGUUGUCGUGAACGGUGUGGUUUGGAGCGACGGCGAAGGAGAUGCGGUUGGAGGAAGGUGAACGGGAGAGAGUGACACGGCGGCAUGCGGCGGCGGGGGAGUGGUUAACGGCGUUGAGGUAAAUAUGGACAUGGCGGUAGAGAUCGUUGAGAUCAACGCCGCAGUAACCG